UUGACCCCUCGCUCCCAGCACUCACCCCUCCCAUCUCUUCCCUAUUCCCUCUCCUAGUUCCCUCUUUCCCCUUCCUUCUUUCCCUCCCUGCUCUCCUCCCACCCCUCCCUCUCCCACUGCCUCUCCCAGCUCUGGGCCUGUUGCCCACUUUUCCCACCACACAUGCCUUCUUUGUCUCUCAUAGAGACGGGCACCUGGCACCACUAGAAGGAAAGAUUGGACAGUAGCCCUUUGAAUGAUGGAGAGGAAAAGAAUGCGGGAGUGGGGAUUCAAUUUCCCCUCUGUUAAGAGUCCUGUUGACAAGCUGUGAGCCUGGAGUGAGGCCUCAGAGAGGAGUCACGUGAGCCUCCCUCUGGGAUCUGGCAUGAAGGAGAAAUGGAUUCUGGAUUUUCUGCUCUGG
RNAcentral lists this long non-coding RNA (400 nucleotides) under Rattus norvegicus (Norway rat). Its description in RNAcentral is "long non-coding RNA NONRATT028605". Lineage: Eukaryota; Metazoa; Chordata; Mammalia; Rodentia; Muridae. The record is from RNAcentral.